UCAAGUUAUUAAGGGUGCAGGGCGGAUGCCUUGGCACUAGGAGCCGAUGAAGGACGUGAUAAGCUGCGAUAAGCUUCGGGGAGUUGCACGUAAACUUUGAUCCGAAGAUUUCCGAAUGAGGAAACUCACUUAGAGUAAUGUCUAAGUAUCAUUAAGUGAAUACAUAGCUUAAUGAGGGGAACUCAGGGAACUGAAACAUCUAAGUACCUGAAGGAAGAGAAAGAAAUUCGAUUCCGUAAGUAGCGGCGAGCGAACGCGGAUUAGCCCAAACCAAUAAAGUUUUCUUUAUUGGGGUUGCGGACAUAUCAUAACGAAGAGGUAUCGUAAUUGAAGAGGUUUGGAAAGACCCACCACAGAAGGUAAUAGUCCUGUAUGUUAAACGAGAAGACUUCAGAUAUGAUCCAGAGUACCACGGGACACGUGAAACCCUGUGGGAAGCAGGAGGGACCACCCUCCAAGGCUAAAUACUACCUAGUGACCGAUAGCGUAUAGUACCGUGAGGGAAAGGUGAAAAGAACCCCGGGAGGGGAGUGAAAUAGAACCUGAAACCCUGCACUUACAAGCUGUGGAAGCACAUUUCUUGUGUGACCGCGUACUUUUUGUAGAACGGGCCAACGAGUUACGUUAAGUAGCAAGGUUAAGCACUUAAGGUGUGGAGCCGUAGCGAAAGCGAGUUUUAACUGAGCGUUCAGUUACUUGACGUAGACCCGAAACCGGGCGACCUACCCAUGAGCAGGAUGAAGCGAAAGUAAAAUUUCGUGGAGGUCCGAACCCACGAGCGUUGAAAAGCUCGGGGAUGACUUGUGGGUAGCGGUGAAAUUCCAAUCGAGCCCGGAGAUAGCUGGUUCUCCCCGAAAUAGCUUUAGGGCUAGCCUCAAGGUGAGAGAUACGGAGGUAGAGCACUGAAUGUCCUAGGGGGUAUUGCACCUACCGAAGACUAUCAAACUCCGAAUGCCGUCAUCUUAUACUUGGGAGUCAGACUGUGGGUGAUAAGAUUCAUAGUCGAAAGGGCAACAGCCCAGAUCGUCAGCUAAGGUCCCUAAAUGUAAGUUAAGUGGUAAAGGAUGUGGGAUUGCACAGACAACCAGGAUGUUGGCUUAGAAGCAGCCACUCAUUCAAAGAGUGCGUAAUAGCUCACUGGUCGAGUGAUCCUGCGCCGAAGAUUUCCGGGGCUAAAACUUACUACCGAAGCUACGGCAUCAGUAAUGAUGGGUAGGGGAGCUUCCCAUACGGGUUGAAGCAUGACCGUAAGGACAUGUGGACAGUAUGGGAGUGAGAAUGUUGGCAUGAGUAGCGAGAUGUGGGUGAGAAUCCCACAGGCCGUAAACCCAAGGUUUCCAGGGGAAGGUUCGUCCGCCCUGGGUUAGUCGGGACCUAAGCUGAGGCCGAAAGGCGUAGGUGAUGGACAACAGGUUGAUAUUCCUGUACUACCGAUAACCGUUUGAGAGAAGGGAUGACACAGUAGGAUAAGCUAAGCACACUGUUGGUUAUGUGUGCCCAAGCAUUGAGGCAGUCAAAGUAGGCAAAUCCGCUUUGAUAAUGCUGGGAUGUGAUGGGGAGCGAAAUUUAGUAGCGAAGUAGCUGAUUUCACACUGUCAAGAAAAGUCUCUAUCGAGGUUAAAGGUACCCGUACCGCAAACCGACACAGGUGGGUGAGGAGAGUAUCCUAAGGCCAGCGAGAGAACUGUUGUUAAGGAACUCGGCAAAAUGACCCCGUAACUUAGGGAUAAGGGGUGCCACCAUCAGGUGGCCGCAGAGAAUAGGCCCAAGCGACUGUUUACCAAAAACAUAGGUUUCUGCUAAGUCGCAAGACGAUGUAUAGGAGCUGACGCCUGCCCGGUGCUGGAAGGUUAAGGGGAUCUGUUAGAGCAAUCGAAGCAGUGAACUUAAGCCCCAGUAAACGGCGGCCGUAACUAUAACGGUCCUAAGGUAGCGAAAUUCCUUGUCGGGUAAGUUCCGACCCGCACGAAAGGCGUAACGAUUUGGGCACUGUCUCAACAACAGACUCGGUGAAAUUGUAAUUCCGGUGAAGAUGCCGGAUACCUGCGACAGGACGGAAAGACCCCAUGGAGCUUUACUGUAGCUUGACAUUGGGUCUUGGUACUACAUGUACAGGAUAGGUGGGAGGCUUUGAAACCAGGACGCCAGUUUUGGCGGAGCCAUCCUUGGGAUACCACCCUUGUAGUACUGGGACUCUAACCAUAGGCCAUGAAUCUGGUCUUGGGACACUGUCAGGUGGGCAGUUUGACUGGGGCGGUCGCCUCCCAAAAGGUAACGGAGGCGCUCAAAGGUUCUCUCAGUACGGUCGGAAAUCGUACGUAGAGUGUAAAGGCAAAAGAGAGCUUGAUUGCAAGACAUACAGGUCGAGCAAGGAUGAAAAUCGGACUUAGUGAUCCGGUGGUUCUGCGUGGAAGGGCCAUCGCUCAACGGAUAAAAGCUACCCUGGGGAUAACAGGCUUAUCUCCCCCAAGAGUCCACAUCGACGGGGAGGUUUGGCACCUCGAUGUCGGCUCAUCACAUCCUGGGGCUGUAGUAGGUCCCAAGGGUUGGGCUGUUCGCCCAUUAAAGUGGUACGCGAGCUGGGUUCAGAACGUCGUGAGACAGUUCGGUCCCUAUCCGUCGCAGGCGUAGGAAAUUUGAGAAGACCUGUCCUUAGUACGAGAGGACCGGGAUGGACGUACCUCUGGUGUACCAGUUGUUCUGCCAAGGGCAUGGCUGGGUAGCUAUGUACGGAAUGGAUAAGCGCUGAAAGCAUCUAAGCGCGAAGCCAACUUCAAGAUAAGAUUUCCCACCGNNNNNNNNNNNNNAAGGGUAAGACCCCAGAAAGACUAUCUGGUUGAUAGGUCGAAGGUGUAAGUGCAGCAAUGUAUUUAGCUUAUCGAUACUAAUAGGUCGAGGACUUGACCAA
This 2908-nucleotide ribosomal RNA is filed under the name Clostridioides difficile. Its description in RNAcentral is "23S ribosomal RNA". It matches the Rfam family "Bacterial large subunit ribosomal RNA". Lineage: Bacteria; Bacillati; Bacillota; Clostridia; Peptostreptococcales; Peptostreptococcaceae. The record is from RNAcentral.